Molecule: ribosomal RNA, 254 nt
Filed under: uncultured bacterium
Lineage: Bacteria
Description: partial 16S ribosomal RNA
Rfam family: Bacterial small subunit ribosomal RNA
Source: RNAcentral
UACGUAGGGUGCGAGCGUUAAUCGGAAUUACUGGGCGUAAAGCGCACGUAGGCGGCGCAGCAAGUCAGGGGUGAAAUCCCGGAGCUCAACUCCGGAACUGCCUUUGAAACUGCAGUGCUAGAAUCCUGGAGAGGCGAGUGGAAUUCCGAGUGUAGAGGUGAAAUUCGUAGAUAUUCGCAAGAACACCAGUGGCGAAGGCGGCUUACUGGUCCGGUUCUGACGCUGAGGCACGGAAAGCGUGGGGAGCAAACAGG